AAUGUUGAGCUUAAGGCCUGUGACGUAGCACAAGCAGAACGCAGGCUUCGUGGAAGUGGGAUUACCGGUGAGCCCAGUCGCGUGCUGGCCUGGCGCAGGAAGGCUGAGAGGGAGAACGAGUGAGGGGAAAAAAGCACCAGAAAUAUUGGGUCAGAUAUUCCCUCAGGAUUGCUUAUCAGUUCUGGGAACUGAAAAAGCUUGGAGGUUUUUUUUUUCCGGCCCCUCAAAACACCAGCACUUAGAACAGUCGCUUCAGUGAGGACAGCAAGUGUAACAUCAAGGCAAGAGCACUGUUAGUUAACCUGCAUAGUUACACUGCAAGUUGGCUUUUCACAGUUGUCUAAGAAGUAAUGUCUGCACCUUCAGCAUAAGCCUUGAGUGUUUUACAGUUGGAAUACCGCACUCAGGUUUUCUACUUGGCUUCCCAGAGACCUGCAGUCCCGCCACUGUCCUUCACUCAUCAGGAUUUCAGAAGAUUCCCUGCCAUCACACAGACGUGUUGGACUGCAGACCACAAGGCCGGAAAUGAGUCCUUCUGUCAAAGCAUAUUUGAUGUAGUCUCAAAAUAAGAUGCACCCUUCUGAGUGCUGGGAAUAAUCAUAAUGAAGGAGUGGCUGACACAGUGAAAGGCAGAUCCUCAGUCCAGAGAGACCUCUCUAAAUGCAAAGAGUGGACUACCAGGAUGCUCACAAAGCCCAGCAAUUAGGAGUGCCAGUGAUACCUGGUACACCAGGGUGAGCAAGGGAUAACCCUGAGCAUCAGUCCAGGCUGGGAAGUGACUGGUGGAGCUGCUGGAUAGAACUUGGAGAGUUUCCUGGAUGUUACUUGAAACAGGAUAAUCACUUACUCAUGUGCAACCAACGACCACAUGGAAGCCGCUCACAAAAGAAGCCGCAGCCUUUGCUAACAAAAGAACUCCUUUCUGUUUUAUUUUUCCAACCAAAGUUCCCAAAACAAAGUCAUUAAAUUUCUCCCUUUUUUCAGA
This is a long non-coding RNA of Tyto alba (common barn owl), 985 nucleotides long. RefSeq lists it as uncharacterized. The transcript is spliced from 4 exons. Lineage: Eukaryota; Metazoa; Chordata; Aves; Strigiformes; Tytonidae. The record is from RefSeq and is a predicted model, not a curated record.